UGGAGGUUUAGCUCAGCUGGGAGAGCGUCUGCCUUACAAGCAGAAUGUCGGCGGUUCGAUCCCGUCAACCUCCAUCCA
RNAcentral lists this transfer RNA (78 nucleotides) under Trichococcus shcherbakoviae. RNAcentral describes it as "Trichococcus sp. ART1 tRNA". It matches the Rfam family "tRNA". From Rfam's summary of the family: Transfer RNA (tRNA) molecules are approximately 80 nucleotides in length. Their secondary structure includes four short double-helical elements and three loops (D, anti-codon, and T loops). Further hydrogen bonds mediate the characteristic L-shaped molecular structure. tRNAs have two regions of fundamental functional importance: the anti-codon, which is responsible for specific mRNA codon recognition, and the 3' end, to which the tRNAs corresponding amino acid is attached (by aminoacyl-tRNA synthetases). tRNAs cope with the degeneracy of the genetic code in two manners: having more than one tRNA (with a specific anti-codon) for a particular amino acid; and 'wobble' base-pairing, i.e. permitting non-standard base-pairing at the 3rd anti-codon position. Lineage: Bacteria; Bacillati; Bacillota; Bacilli; Lactobacillales; Carnobacteriaceae. The record is from RNAcentral.